RNAcentral lists this ribosomal RNA (369 nucleotides) under Clostridioides difficile. RNAcentral describes it as "bacterial SSU rRNA". It matches the Rfam family "Bacterial small subunit ribosomal RNA", at positions 831 to 1199 of the family's 1533-position model. Lineage: Bacteria; Bacillati; Bacillota; Clostridia; Peptostreptococcales; Peptostreptococcaceae. The record is from RNAcentral.
UUACCCCCCACGGGGCCGCAGCUAAGCCAUUAAGGACUCCGCCUGGGAAGUACGCACGGAAGAGUGAAACUCAAAGCAAUUGGCGGGGACCCGAACAAGUAGCGGAGCAUGUGGGUUAAUGCGAAGCAACGCGAAGAACCUUACCUAAGCUUGACAUCCCAAUGACAUCUCCUUAAUCGGAGAGUUCCCUGCGGGGACAUUGGUGACAGGUGGUGCAUGGUUGUCGUCAGCUCGUGUCGUGAGAUGUUGGGUUAAGUCCCGCAACGAGCGCAACCCUUGUCUUUAGUUGCCAUCAUUAAGUUGGGCACUCUAGAGAGACUGCCAGGGAUAACCUGGAGGAAGGUGGGGAUGACGUCAAAUCAUCAUGCC